GCACAGAGAAGAUUAGCAUGGCCCCUGCACUAAGGAUGACACGCUCAAUCAAAGAGAAGCUAAACAUUUUU
This is a non-coding RNA of Metarhizium anisopliae BRIP 53293, 71 nucleotides long. Lineage: Eukaryota; Fungi; Ascomycota; Sordariomycetes; Hypocreales; Clavicipitaceae. The record is from Rfam.